This 399-nucleotide long non-coding RNA is filed under the name Ananas comosus (pineapple). Its description in RNAcentral is "long non-coding RNA (ACOM_LNC000465)". Lineage: Eukaryota; Viridiplantae; Streptophyta; Magnoliopsida; Poales; Bromeliaceae. The record is from RNAcentral.
AUGAUUUAUCUUUAUAUUCUAAAUAGUUUGGUUUGGAUAUAAGCUAGAAUUGCUGAUUCGCUGGAACAAACUGGAAUUGUUAUAGUUUUGUGUUUGGAUGAGUAUUAAGGUUUGUACCAGAUAUAAAAAAAAAUAGUGUUUGAAUGUAUAAAAUAAAAUAAGAAGAAUAGAUAAUAGUUAAAAGUUAAAAUGACGAUGUUACCCCUUAUGCUUAUAAUCCUAUAUAAGCAAAAUUUGAAGGUAUAUUUAAAUAGAAAUAUAGUUUGAUUUAAUUUGAUAGGAUAAAUAGUUCAAUGAAUUAAUAUAUUCUGAAAUUAAACAUAAAUUUUAUUUCAAUAUUUAUUCCGCCAUUUUUGAGUCCAUAAUAUUAAAAAUAAUUUACCCUACAAAUAAAUAUAU